AUUGAACGCUGGCGGCAUGCCUUACACAUGCAAGUCGAACGGUAACGGGCCUUCGGGUGCCGACGAGUGGCGAACGGGUGAGUAAUGCAUCGGAACGUACCCAUCAGUGGGGGAUAACUCUCCGAAAGGAGGGCUAAUACCGCAUAUUCUGUGCGCAGGAAAGCGGGGGACCGCAAGGCCUCGCGCUGAUGGAGCGGGCGAUGUCAGAUUAGCUAGUUGGUGGGGUAAAGGCCUACCAAGGCGACGAUCUGGAGCGGGUCUGAGAGGAUGAUCCGCCACACUGGGACUGAGACACGGCCCAGACUCCUACGGGAGGCAGCAGUGGGGAAUUUUGGACAAUGGGGGCAACCCUGAUCCAGCCAUGCCGCGUGAGUGAAGAAGGCCUUCGGGUUGUAAAGCUCUUUCGGCCGGGAAGAAAUCGCAUCUCCUAAUACGGGGUGUGGAUGACGGUACCGGAAUAAGAAGCACCGGCUAACUACGUGCCAGCCGCCGCGGUAA
This 498-nucleotide ribosomal RNA is filed under the name uncultured bacterium. RNAcentral describes it as "partial 16S ribosomal RNA". It matches the Rfam family "Bacterial small subunit ribosomal RNA", at positions 29 to 523 of the family's 1533-position model. The record is from RNAcentral.